UGCACCUAAGGUUUACACUAUAUAGAAACAUUCACAGAAAUAGACCAUGAUUGUGACGCCAUAACUCUCCUCGUACUACACUCUAGUCAUUAAAGAUAAGGACAAUACCGUAAACUUCCAACUAUAAGCCCUGGGCUUACAUUCUUUCGUAAGCGAUUUUUGAUGGGCUUAUGUAGGGGGGGGGGACUUAUAUACAGGGGGCGUAUACA
Molecule: non-coding RNA, 209 nt
Organism: Paramuricea clavata
Lineage: Eukaryota; Metazoa; Cnidaria; Anthozoa; Malacalcyonacea; Plexauridae
Source: the annotation of a GenBank genome assembly